UCUAGGAAAACCAUGUAAACCACUAGAACUAGAAAAUGGCAGAGUUGAUUUGACCGAUCUCCGGUUUGCUGCAACAGCAACCUUCUCCUGUAAUGAAGGUUACAAAAUAAUUGGACCGACUUCUGCCCAAUGUGUGAUUGCAGGAAAUGGAGUUGAUUGGGAUAAGGAGGUUCCACUUUGCCAAGAAAUUAGAUGUCCAUCUCCAGACAUUACCAAUGGAAAAGCAAUACCUAGAAAAGAAACCUAUGUGUAUGAGGACAAGAUUCGCAUUGAAUGUAAUCCCGGUUACGCCCUCAAAGACAAGAAUGGAUUGAUUAAGUGUGAACAUAAUCAUGCAUGGCAUCCUCCAUUACCAAUUUGCGAACCGGCUUGUGAGCCACCUGCACGCAUCUCUAAUGGACGGGACGACCGCGGCUGGAGAAAUGUUUUCCUUGUUGGAUCAAGUGUGACCUACGACUGUGACCGUGGUUGGUCACUUGUUGGAGUAGCCUCCAUUCGAUGUACAGCUGGUGAUGGGGGAACUCCACGCUGGAAUGCACCUGUCCCUCAGU
Long non-coding RNA from Mauremys mutica (yellowpond turtle), 551 nucleotides. RefSeq lists it as uncharacterized. NCBI's taxonomy places the organism in Eukaryota, Metazoa, Chordata, Testudines, Geoemydidae. The record is from RefSeq and is a predicted model, not a curated record. The transcript is spliced from 4 exons.